Arachis duranensis is the source of this 1914-nucleotide RNA transcript. RefSeq lists it as uncharacterized. Lineage: Eukaryota; Viridiplantae; Streptophyta; Magnoliopsida; Fabales; Fabaceae. The transcript has 6 exons. The record is from RefSeq and is a predicted model, not a curated record.
AUGAGCUAUCAUGCUCUUCUUCUCAUGUUCAAUUUUUUUUUUUCAUGACAUCCUGUUUCAUAUAGUGAUUUUGCUAAAGCAACCAUUUUUAUGAGUUAGAUUCAUCUGGAAUACCAGGAUCUGUAAAGUUAGUUAGCUCAAAUUUUUUCUCUGAUCUGUUCUCUUAUUCAUCAUCAUCCAGUUCUGUUUUCCCUUCUCUUCAUCCACUGCACUACGGUUUCUUUGGAGAAAACUGUUUUGAUCUUCUUAAAAAGCGUUGCAACUAAAAAGAGCUUCCACUUUCGCCGGAGAUUCAAAGGAAUGGGCUUAUGCAGCUUCAUUCUACUCGUCAUAAAGGGAAUAUUCUUUCGACUGUAAUUCUAUUGAUUAAGCAAUUUUAUUGGUAUAUGGCUAGACAUCCGAUAAUUAUCGGACAGUACAGUUGGGGAUCGGCAUGCCUCGCACAUCUGUAUAGGGCGUUAUGCAGGGCAUCUCGUUUUGACUGUAAAGAGAUCAAUGGUCCGCUAACACUGCUGUUCGUUUGGGUUUGGAUCCGCCUGCCAUAUCUAGCAUUGGUUUCUAGGGAAUUCCGUAGUUGUUCGUUUGUAAACAGGUGGCGUAACUGGGAGCGUGGAGACUGACGCUUUAGGUAUCUUACGCUUGCUCACUUUAGAAAGGGUUUGGAUUAUCUUCAAGAAGACCAGUUUGUGUGGGUUGCUUAUGCUGUGGAUCGCGUGGAUCCGGAUAUAAUUGCUGCAGACAUCUACAUGCACUCGGUAGUUUGGAGGGCUACGGUGUCGUUGGUAUUUUUUGAAUGUAUUGAGUGGCAUGCAGCUGAUUGGUAUAGGCGACAAUUUGGUUUUGUUCAGGAGAAGUCCUGACUACUCUUAAGGAUCUUAAUUGGGCCACAGCCACGAAUCAUUUAUUUUGGGUGAUGCAGUGGACAAAUAGAUAUAUUCACGUUCUGACUGAGUUUGAUGGUCUACAACAUCUCCUAGAUAUUUAUAGGCUUUAGUUCCGUACAAAAUAUGACAACCAUUUGAAUUUGUCGGAUCUUGUGGUUUAAGAGAAUGAUGAGGGUGAUCAGAUUAUGGAUGAUAUGGUUUAAGAGAAUGAAGAGAAUGAAGAGCAGGAGCCACAGUCACUGCCACCUCCACCUUCACCUCUACCUCCACAAGAACAAUAUGUACCUCAAAUACAAUUUACCUCAUCAUACCAAAUACAUCAACAGUAUUGGAGUGUGCAAUAGUUUGACUCAGGAGAUGGAGGUUUUUUUAGUCAGUUGCUUGUGUUCAUGGCAACCGAUGUAGGCCAAUCACAAUAUGGUCAUCAGUCUGACAUCAUGGUAGGUAGGUAUUCUUUAGACGCGAGGCAUUCAUGCCGCACUUCUUCAUAUGCUUCUGGAGGGUUGGUAUCUGGUGACUCUAGUAGAAGUGGUGGUGGUCGAUGAGUUCUUAAUAGUCAAAACUCUAAUUGUGUUUCAACGAGUCUAAUUGAAGAAAAUGCUGAGACACUUGAGUAAAAGAUUGAUGAGUAUCUAGUAGAUAAACCAGAUGACAAGGAGGAGAAGGAGGAUGAAGAUGAGAACAUAGACGAGGAUGAAGAAUCCCGUAAUGAUGCACUUGUUGAUGGUGACGCACGCACUCCAGAUGAGACAAGUAAAGGGUACUAUCUCAGGGGUUGAUCUGCCUCGUCGUAGCGCUAAUCGAUUCACUACGUCUGUGUUCAAAAAAGUUGCUAAAAAAUGCAUGAAUCUUGUGAAAGAUGUAAAGUGGGUAAUGAGAAAGUAGAUGUUGUCUAGUUAACAUGUCUAUGUAUCAGUUAAUUUUUCUAUGUAUGAAUUAACUGUUCUAUGUAUCAAUUAUUAUGUAUCAAGUUAUAAUGUUUCAAAUGUCGUUAAUUUUUUUGGAUGGAUUGCAUAAUAUAUAAUUCUAA